RNAcentral lists this ribosomal RNA (253 nucleotides) under uncultured bacterium. RNAcentral's name for it is "partial 16S ribosomal RNA". It matches the Rfam family "Bacterial small subunit ribosomal RNA", at positions 524 to 776 of the family's 1533-position model. The record is from RNAcentral.
UACGUAGGGUGCGAGCGUUAAUCGGAAUUACUGGGCGUAAAGCGUGCGCAGGCGGUUUUGUAAGCCAGAUGUGAAAGCCCCGGGCUUAACCUGGGAAUGGCAUUUGGGACUGCAAGGCUUGAGUGCGGCAGAGGAGACUGGAAUUCCUGGUGUAGCAGUGAAAUGCGUAGAGAUGUGGAGGAAUACCGAUGGCGAAGGCAGCCCCCUGGGCCAAUACUGACGCUCAUGCACGAAAGCGUGGGGAGCAAACAGG